Callorhinchus milii (elephant shark) is the source of this 402-nucleotide long non-coding RNA. RefSeq lists it as uncharacterized. The record is from RefSeq and is a predicted model, not a curated record. The transcript has 3 exons. Lineage: Eukaryota; Metazoa; Chordata; Chondrichthyes; Chimaeriformes; Callorhinchidae.
GGCCCUGGGGUCAAUAUUCCGCCUCACACUCCUUUGAUGCCAGCGUCAUCUGCUCAGGAGAAAAAAACCCCAGACUGGUGAACGGAAGCAGCCACUGUGCGGGGAGAGUAGAGCUGUACACCAUGGACAAUUGGGGGACAGUUUGUGGCGAGACGCUGAACAUGGAAAUGGCAGGAAAUAUUUGUAAAUAUUUGGGAUGUGGAUUUGCUGUGUCAGCCUCAGGUGACGCUCACUUUGGGGAAGGAUCGGGGCCUGUAGUUGGUCGGCCUGACUGCGGACACGGAAAAGACGGUGGCAUAUUGUGCUCAGCAAACCGGACCAGGGUGCAAACGAUAGGACUGGCUUUCGGGAUUGUCAGUGCUUUAGUGAUCACUGUGCUUAUAUUGGGAUUCUGUGUGUACA